This 440-nucleotide ribosomal RNA is filed under the name uncultured bacterium. RNAcentral's name for it is "partial 16S ribosomal RNA". It matches the Rfam family "Bacterial small subunit ribosomal RNA", at positions 338 to 795 of the family's 1533-position model. The record is from RNAcentral.
CCUACGGGUGGCAGCAGUGGGGAAUAUUGCACAAUGGGGGAAACCCUGAUGCAGCGACGCCGCGUGAAGGACGAAGUAUCUCGGUAUGUAAACCUCCAUUAGUAGGGAAGAAAAUGACGGUACCUGUCCAAGAAGCCCAGGCUAACUCCGUGCCAGCAGCCGCGGCAAUACGGAGGGGGCAAGCGUUAUCCGGAUUUACUGGGCGUAAAGGGAGCGUAGACGGUGCUGCAAGUCCGGGGUGAAAGCCCAUGGCUUAACCAUGGUACUGCUCUUGAAACUGUGCGGCUAGAGUGCGGGUGGGGCAAUCGGAAUGCCUGGUGUAGCGGUGGAAUGCGUAGAUAUUAGGAGGAACACCAAUGGCGAAGGCGGAUUGCUAGACUGUAACUGACGCUGAGGCACGAAAGCGUGGGGAGCAAACAGGAUUAGAUACCCGGGUAGUC